UCCUAUUUUAGCUACUUAUAUACAGAAAUUCUAAAUAUUAUACAAACGCUAUUUCGAGAGGUUUGUGACUGACUUAUAAAAUCACAUGAACAUAAUAUUUUAUCGAAAAAAAGUAUAUACUUACUGUGAGUAAAUAUAUACUUAGAACAUCGAUCAAUUCGAAUAAUAGGAUUUUUUUUAAUCUAUGGAAACCAGAUGAAUUUACACUAUACAGUACAUACCUAUCACAUAAAAAAAUUGUUUGCUACGCGGUCAGCCUUAAGUAUGUAUAUACCGUGACGUCACAAUUUACCUUCAACUUGGAGACGCAGCGACCUUUAACUUUCGUUGUGUUUUUUGAGGGUAGCUGAUACACGAGUCAGUGGGAUUCUGUAUUUAAACCUUUUAAAAAAUCAGGAAAUCUCUAUAUUACUAUAAUUCCUAUUGAAUUGUGUUCUGUAUAUUCUUAGUGGUGUCGAUCACUAACAUUUGGGGAAAACAUCAAUUCAAUACGUUUCCAUAUAUAUUAUAAUUCUUUGUUCAAUACGCUACGAGGGAAAAAAAGAGAGUCAACUGUCACUCAAGAACUGUCUUAACGUAGUGGUUAUAUUCUCUAUGGAACUGUCAAAUCCCCUUCGUUUAUCUUCUCCCAUUAACAAAAGUCUUCAUCAUAAAGACAUUCAACUUUAAUACCCAGAUUAAUACCUCAGUAAUCUGCAGUCUGAAACAACGUGACAUUGGCGGAAUAGCUUCAUAAUCAAGCUCGUCGCCAGUAAUCAAAGAAGAAGAAGAA
This is a long non-coding RNA of Manduca sexta (tobacco hornworm), 772 nucleotides long. RefSeq lists it as uncharacterized. NCBI's taxonomy places the organism in Eukaryota, Metazoa, Arthropoda, Insecta, Lepidoptera, Sphingidae. The transcript has 2 exons. The record is from RefSeq and is a predicted model, not a curated record.